Molecule: long non-coding RNA, 761 nt
Filed under: Homo sapiens (human)
Lineage: Eukaryota; Metazoa; Chordata; Mammalia; Primates; Hominidae
Description: HSALNT0405241
Source: RNAcentral
ACUGCCCCGACCUCCCGCCCCAGGUUCCACGCGCUCUGAUGCCCGCCCCGCUCACCCAGAGAAGCCCUGGGCCAGACGUCCACAACCCAAGGGGUUAUGGGGAGGCCUCUGCUCCCUGGACACAGUAGUUCUCAAACUGGACAGUGUCAAUCAGCAUCCUCCGGGAGGUCUGGGGUGGCCCCGGAAAUACAUGUGUCCCACCUAUCCCAGCAGGUAAUGAUGAAACUCCUGCUCUGGUCCGGGCUACCGGUGAACAGCGCCCAGCGGGCCGGGCCCCCAACCUCGCUCCUGAGCCUGAACAUCCCCCCAACCCCACCGUGAGAAUUCAGCGAAGAGUAAAAGCUGGAAAAAGUUGCGUGUCUUAGGCUAAGCAGAACAAAGUGGGGUGACGGCUCCCCGGCUAGGAACAGAGAUGCCCUUAGGGAGCCCUCUGAUGGAAGAGCUCUCCGCUUAAGAAGGUCACCACUCCCUUACACUCAGCCCCCCUCAAUCUGAUUCCCUGCUAUGCCUGCCAUCACCACUGGCCAGUUUUACCACAUGCUUCUCAAGACCCAAGGCACAAUAGGCAUAAAGUUGUCCUGAAAAGGACAAGAGGAGUGUCAGAAGUAGGAAUGGCAGUUGAAGGAGCUUCGUCUGCCAGCAGAAAGCUGAAAUGACAGGAAGACAGAAUGUCUUGUCAAGGGUCACCCCAGGAGGAGGAGUAAAUUCCCCAAAAAGCGGAACAUAUUUUUAUGAUUUAAUUAAUACAAUUUCUCUCAAUG